CCAUUCCUCCUACACACCCCAGCUUCUCAAGCUCAACCCCCUUGUUUGCUGAGGCGGCAGACUGCCAGGCAGAUGUAUGCCGCCGCGGGCAGAAGGAGGCCCCCGGCUACCCGGGCACAAAUACACUCACAUCUGGGCACAACACCUCUCCCACCCAUAUGUAGAAAACCACGCACCUCUCACCCACCUCCCCACACUUGCACAACUUAGCUAGAGUCCCAAAUAUGGCUCGCUCUAACUCCUCCUCUCCUCACCCCCGCCAGUCCUCAUAAAAAAGCCCCCUAAGACGUGCGUUUAAAAAGUCCCAUCAUCACUCUGCUAGGGAAUCAAGAAAGCUGUUGAUACAUAACCUGGGGAUGAGCACACAUAAACACAAAAGCUCACAGGCCCCACAUGUGCAUAUAUGAUACUGCCCGGGCUCACUAAAAUGUGCACUUCUUCAACAGAUUCUACAGACACAACCUACAAAAAUAAUUGCACAGAACUUGUACACACAUGCUGUGCAGAUAAAUGCAGACGUGUGCAUGCAGACUUAUGACACAGGGGUAGUCACCCUAUCCGAGAUGUUGCAUUACAUCCUUAUCUAUCUAUCUAUCUAUCUAUCUAUCUAUCACCUAUCAAUCAUCCAUCAUCUAUCUAAUGUAUAUAUUUAUGCAUAGAUACUGGCUUCAGAGAAACAUCCUUCCCUUCCCAUACUAGAAUCUCCCUAACCUCUUGGUAUCUUGCUUCAGAAUAAAACAAAAAUGCCAUUCUCACCUUGCCUGGGAGGAAGAAAAAUACCCUAAACCUUAGUAUUGGGAAAUAUAAAAAAAAUCGUUGUCUUUUGGGGUCCGUGGCGGAGGAAGGAUGUGGGCUUUUGUGAAAGGCUGGGAAAAGGAGAUAGGGGAGGAGAAUUGUGGAGCAGCAGCCUGACUGGAUUGUGGUGGCCAGUGUCCCCUAGCCAGUCAGGGUACUGGAGCUGGCAGUGUGGCUUGUUAAAUGGAUAGAGUGGGCCAUCUCGGAGGAAAGUAGAAAGAAAGUCUUUCUCAGCUAAGCUCCCAGAGGAGGGAAGGAAAGAAAGGAUGGCUGUUGCUCAGGCUCAAUAACUGAAGCGGGCAAGGAGGGGAAAAUGCCCUGUGGUUCUGGUUGGGAGAGGGGAUCUUAAAACAGCACUGCAGUGAAUCCACAGCCACUGGCCAGUCAUAGCAUAGCUGUUGCAUGCUUUCCUUCCUACCUGAAUGUUUGGGCUACAGGCUCUGUUUGCCAAAGGGAAAAUGAGUGGGAGGGAAAUUCUGGUGGCCACUCAUGAUGGGAAUGGGGUUAGUCAGCUUAGGCUCCCAAACCGAGCUGGAAGCUGGCCGGGAUUCCAGGGCUUGGGGCAUAGGGGUGUCUCUCCCAGCAUGUUUGGGACCCACCCACCCUUGUAACUGAAAAUCUGUUCCCCAAUCUGUCUCUGGCACAUCCUCGAUCCCCCCCCCCCCCACCCUCCACCAAAUGGCAGGAUGUCCUGGAACUCAGCCCCUUGCCUAAAUCAUGGGCACAUCUGGGGCCUUGGUUUGUGCCAGCUCUUGUUGAACUUCAAAUUCAGAAUCCAGAGGGGAAAGGGAAGGAGGAAAUUGGGGAUAGAAUGGGUAUCAGGCCUGGACUCUGUGCUUUUCUCUUCCCAAAUUAGAGCCGAGGAAUUCGGGAUUUAGCGAGUUUGCAGUAAAGUCUCCCAAGUUGCUAGGCAACAUCCCUCUGCAGGCUGCGCUGCCUCUGGGCCCUUCUUCCUGCUGGUCAGAGCUGGAGGGGGGGGGGAGUAUCUUUACAACAUGCCCCCCCCUAAACUCCCACACAGGCAGCCCAGCCCUUCCCUCUUCCUAAGACGCCCUUGUGUGGGGUGAGGGCGUCUCUGAACACUGGCGGCGGUGGAAGAGCAGAAAUGGCAACUGUCAGUUCCAUCCGCAAAACAAGCAUUUCAUCAACAGCCCACUUGAGGCGCCUACGCGGAACUGGCCACUGUGCUUGCCCUGGGGGAUGGGCAAUCUCUGAGGGCAGAAAGAAACUCUUAUCCAGGAGAUGGAGACCCUCUUACUGUCGUCGAGAAUGAGCAUCUCUUGGAGUCUGUGUAUGUGAUGGAAGCACUGAAAGUAAGGGAUUAUUAACUACAAGCUUUUGUUAUUCUGUAAUUUGGAUGGAGCAUUUGAGUUUAACGAGGUGAGCUUCCAUGCUUGGGGAACCAGAAUGCUUCCACAUGCAACCGAGCAGAGCCCUGAGCUCCUUGAGGACAAAGCUCCUUUGUUCAGGAUCUCACUCUGCAUCCUUCAUUCGGCUGUUGAUUUGCAUCCUUUAUCAUAUCCUGUAAUAAACUGGUAAAUGUAA
This is a long non-coding RNA of Neofelis nebulosa (Clouded leopard), 2340 nucleotides long. RefSeq lists it as uncharacterized. NCBI's taxonomy places the organism in Eukaryota, Metazoa, Chordata, Mammalia, Carnivora, Felidae. The record is from RefSeq and is a predicted model, not a curated record. The transcript is spliced from 4 exons.